This 69-nucleotide transfer RNA is filed under the name Ochthebius hasegawai. Its description in RNAcentral is "tRNA-Trp". Lineage: Eukaryota; Metazoa; Arthropoda; Insecta; Coleoptera; Hydraenidae. The record is from RNAcentral.
AAGGAUUUAAGUUAACAAAUAAACUCAUAGUCUUCAAAACUAUCUAUAAAGAUCCAUCUUUAAGCCUUA